Molecule: long non-coding RNA, 4874 nt
Filed under: Vitis vinifera (wine grape)
Lineage: Eukaryota; Viridiplantae; Streptophyta; Magnoliopsida; Vitales; Vitaceae
Description: long non-coding RNA (VVIN_LNC007696)
Source: RNAcentral
AAGAUUCUUAAUUUGGUUAUUUUAUCUAUUUAUUUAUAUAAAAAAGUUUAAGUUUUCUUCUUUUUAUGUAUGCAGGUGCAAUCUUUGGUUUUUUUCUUCUCGUGUUAGUGAUUGUUAUGCUUUAUCGUGUCUAUAGCUCAGAUAAAGUAGAAAGAGAGAAUAGAGUAAAGGUUAAAAAGUUUCUAGAAGACUAUGAAGCUCUCAAGCCCUCAAGAUACUCCUAUGUUGAUGUUAAAAGGAUCACAAGUCAAUUCAAAGAUAAAUUAGGCCAAGGAGGAUAUGGAACUGUGUACAAAGGAAAGCUUUCAGAUGAAGUUUUUGUUGCAGUAAAAAUCCUUAACAAUUCUCAAGGAAAUGGGGAAGAGUUCAUUAAUGAAGUGGCAACAAUGGGUACAAUCCACCAUGUUAAUAUAGUUCGUUUAGUUGGAUUUUGUGCUGAUAGAUUUAAACGAGCUCUAAUUUAUGAGUACUUACCAAAUGAGUCAUUGGAGAAGUUCAUAUUUUCAAAAGUUGUCAAGAACUAUUCACUUAGUUGGAAGAAACUUCAAGAAAUUGCUAUAGGUAUAGCAAAAGGAAUUGAGUAUCUUCAUCAAGGUUGUGAUCAAAGAAUCCUUCAUUUUGAUAUCAAACCUCAUAAUAUUUUACUUGACCACAACUUUAAUCCAAAGAUUUCUGACUUUGGUUUAGCCAAAUUGUGCUCCNNNNNNNNNNNNNNNNNNNNNNNNNNNNNNNNNNNNNNNNNNNNNNNNNNNNNNNNNNNNNNNNNNNNNNNNNNNNNNNNNNNNNNNNNNNNNNNNNNNNNNNNNNNNNNNNNNNNNNNNNNNNNNNNNNNNNNNNNNNNNNNNNNNNNNNNNNNNNNNNNNNNNNNNNNNNNNNNNNNNNNNNNNNNNNNNNNNNNNNNNNNNNNNNNNNNNNNNNNNNUAGUUGUUCAUCAUCAUAGCAUCUUUAUUUAUAUUUCUGUUAAUUGAACAUAUGAUUGUAUAAAAUGAUUAUACUAGUGGCUCAAUUGAUGUUAGAUUCCAGAAGUUCUUAUUCCCAUGUAAUGUAUUUCUUGUGUAUUAAAUUUUAAUGAAUAUGUCCAAGAAUAUUCUCGCAACCCAAUUUAUAGUUCAGCUACACACAACUCUAUAGAUCACCUUUCAAUCAAGUAAGAGUAACUAAUGUCCAUCACAUUCAAGAUAGAAAGUAUUGCACGAAAUAGUAAUAGAAUUAGAUCUAGGAAACUUGAAAAUAAGAGUCCCAUCCACUACACCUAUAUAGAGUUUCUUUUGUUUCUUUUUUCUUCUUCUUCUUUUUUCUUUUUUGCCUUUACCACUUUUUUAUUAGAUUGAGAAGUAAGCCUAAUUAGUUAUGUAAUGACUAAAUUAUACUGAAUGGUGAUGGCUCGUUGGAGAACUUUGCAUCGAAUAAAAUGGAGAUCGAUUUCGAUGUGUUUUCUCCUUGCAUGAAACACUGGAUUUGCUGCUAGCUAAGUAGCACUUCGGUUAUGACACCAUAUCAAUGGUGAAGAUAAGGCAUGUAUCCUAACAAUAAAGGAGUUAGAGAGUCAGGUGAAUGCUUGAUCUUGAACUUUAUCAAUACAAAUUACCAAUGGACCAUAUGUACUAGACCACGAAAAAUAUUAGAUUGUGGGAGAAAUGAACCAUAUGAUAUGUGACCAUGUAGUAAUCAUUGAGAAAGGAAAAAAACAUGGACUCAAUAGAUUAUGUAAUAAUAAUAAUAAUAAUAAUAAUAAUAGAUUCAAACUCUCUCAAUAUAUGGUAUAUAUUGUUUAACCUAAACAACAAAAAGCCUAGUGGCUGAGGACCUUGUCUUAGCCGAGAGGUCUGAGGGUUCCUCCAUGUGUUUAAGAUUAACUGCAUUUAGGCCAGAACAUUAAAUCAAUGGAACAAUCUACUUUGUUUCACUGGGCCAAGCCCAAUGGUAGGUCCAUAGGCAGAGCUUGGAUCAUGUGCUAGUCAGGCUGGGUUAGGCCUGAUACAGACCUAAUUUGAUCAUGGCAGCCCAAUAAGAUAAUGGAUUCUUUCCUAGCUACUUACAAUCAAUAUUUUUCUUUAUUUUCUUCAUAUUUUUCCAAGGAUAUGAACCUAAAAAUACAAAGUAAUACAAUUGCUAUUGAUUACUACUCAAAACAUGCUAUUUAGUAGCUUGUAAUUAGCUCUUUUAAACAACCUUGAGUAGUAAUUAUUACCUUUUAACUCAAUUAACAUGUUAGGGACCCUUGCAAUCGUUUCUAACAAUUGUGUUGAGUUUUGGUGCUUUUUGAUAGCUUUAUGCUCACCAAAGCAAUUUAUGAAUGAGGGAGAGCUAAAUAUGGUUCAUGGCAAAGCUUUUGGAAAGCUUAAAUUUAUGAAGAAACCAAGCUUUGGAGCCUCAUAAUCCUUUGCCUUAGUAGUUCAAAAUAUGCAAGGAGAGAACAAUGGAGAAGAGGAAAACAGGGUGAUGAAAACAGGGGACACAGCUGCAGUCUUUCAUUGCCCUUUUGGAGCACUUCCCGAAGUCCAUUUUUUACAUUCUAUAUACCAUUUCAAAGCUCAGAAAGUCAAGAAUCCAACGAUUCAAACCAUGUACAAUUUGGAGCUGAAAUGAGGAAGAUAUGGCCUUCGGAAGACAACUGCAUCAAGCUGAGGGACAAUUUCGCACGAUGGAAAGCAAGGUGCGAAUUCCUCAGUCCAAAGCAUGGGAAUUUCGCACACCUCAUUUCAAGGUGCGAAAUUGCAACUCCAACGUGCGAAAAUGGGAUAUUUUUGCCGACUCUUUUUCUUCUGAUAUUUUUGUGUCUAAAUUUCCAUUUUCUCCUUGUAUUCAGCCACUUAUGUAAUUCCUUAGCUAGGAAGUAUCCAAGGGAGGGUAAAAUUACCUUCCUAUAUAAAUUCUCUUGUAAUCACUGAAAAAUCAUCUUUUCGGGGAGCUUUCUCCAGGAGACCAACUAUUGUAAUUUUGAUACUUAGUGAAAUACAGAGAUCUCUUUUGCUUUCUUUUUCCCUCUACUAUUUUCUAUUUUCUUGGAAGCCAAACACCCUCUGAGGAUGUUUUCCCAGAGGAUGAGAGGCUAAACCAAUAGUUUCUUGGAGUAAAGGAAGCUAGGUGAAAAGUCCAGAUUAAAAGGUGGAAAGUUUCAGUGCAUUAAAUUCAGGUAGUUGGAAUCCAUAAAUGGCUUCUAAAUCCAAAGUUUUGCUUUAAAUUCCUUAGAAUCACUUUGACUGGCCAAUACAUGGUAAGCUUAAGGUCUCUGUGGAUGCUUAUUGCUAGAUCCAUAUCAGUCCAUUAGUUAUCAUGUACGAGCUAGUGGAAAGUGAUUCAAGGUGAUAACCCAUAGUGUCUUAAGCCAUUAAUGGACCUUGACUACCAUCUCUAUUGACUUUUUAUGGAUUAAAUCUUCAUUGUCAAACCUAUACCGGUUCGGGAAAUAACUAUAGGUUAAAUCCCCAAUGCGAGGAGAAAAAUCCGGAAUUUUCCACUUUGCAUCCUGAACUUGAACCUAGCAACCUUUAGCUCCGGGAGACUUUCUUUCUUCCACUUUCACUUAGUUCUAUGUGAGUUUAGUUUUAAUCACUACUUUCAAAACAAUUUUAUUUUCUUUUAAAUUUCAAGUUUGUGCUAAAGGAAAUCAUCAGAAUCAAUUUCUAAUUUAGAGUCUGUCACUGAUAGAGUGAAAACCCAUCCCUGAGUUCGACCCUAGAACUGCUAUACUAUAGUAGCUUUGCUACGCCAGUAUAAGGUCAUAGGAUUUAUAAAUAUUUUUGAUUAAAAGACCCGGCGGGGCAUGGAAUCAGCUAUUCAAGCAUUCCUUUGGGAUAUGGAAAUAUUUAAUAAAAGAACAUUACUAAGAUUAUUGAAUAUAGAUGAUUUUCUUAAUUUAUUUUUUCAUAUCCAAGUGGACCAUACUAACCCUAAAUUUUCCAAGCAAUUCAUCUUUAUUUCAACUCUCAAUAAUUACAAUUGUGUAAAAAACUCCAUAAACAUCAUUUUUCUAGUUUUAAUAGUUAUCCACAUGGAUGACUUUUCCCUUAUAUCUAAGAUGAGAAAUUAGAUGUUAAUGGUCAAUCGAAUCGCCGAGUGUUAUCGUACCUACCAAUUGGAUCACUAUAUACAAUGGUAUAGAAUAAGGAUAGAGGUUUCUCCACAUUCCUUUUACAUAGAGUUUCAUUUUUAUUUUAGUUUUUGUCAUAAAAUAUGAUGAAUUUGUGUCUGAGGGAGUCAUGGAGACAGCAAGUUAUUAUGAAACAUAGUCUAACUAUGAUACAUAAUAGGGAUUAGAAGGGUAUGUUUGAAUUUCCACUACAAGUUAGGAUAGAGUUAGCAGUAGAAUUGGUACUACCUCAAAAGUAAAAAUGUAGAAUACAAGAAAGAAACCAAAAGAUAAGGUUGAGGCCUAGCAUAAAAUUAAUUAGAUUAAAAUCAUAUCACAUGAACAUGUAAUUUAGCAUUUUUUUUUAAUUCCAAGAGCAUAACAAGCUAAUUACUUUUUUUCUUAAUUUUUUAUAGGUGUAUCGAAGAAAAUAAUUGUGACAGGUAAUAUUCUAUUCAUACAUAUUUUAUUAUAGAGAUAAAGAUUCUUAAUUUGGUUAUUUUAUCUAUUUAUUUAUAUAAAAAAGUUUAAGUUUUCUUCUUCUUAUGUACGCAAGUGCAAUCUUUGGUUUCUUUCUUCUCGUGUUAGUGAUUAUUAUGCUUUAUCGUGUCUAUAGCUUAGAUAAAGUAGAAAGAGAUAAUAGAGUAACGGUUAAAAAGUUUCUAGAAGACUAUGAAGCUCUCAAACCCUCAAGAUACUCCUAUGCUGAUGUUAAAAGGAUUACAAGUCAAUUCAAAGAUAAAUUAGGCCAAGGAGGAUAUGGAACUGUGUACAAAGGAAAGCUUUCAGAUGAAGUUUUUGU